CGAGCCGGCCGGGCGGCCGCGUGGGGAUCAUCGAUCCUCCCGAGGAACGUCCGGGCUCCACAAGGCAGGGUGGUGGGUAACGCCCACCCGGGGUGACCCGCGGGACAGUGCCACAGAAAGCAAACCGCCCGGCGCUCAGGCGCUGGGUAAGGGUGAAACGGUGGUGUAAGAGACCACCAGUGCCCAGGGUGACCUGGGCAGCUAGGUAAACCCCACCCGGAGCAAGGUCAAGAGGGGCCAUCGGCUGAUGGCCCUGCGCGGACGUACGAGGGCUGCCCGCCCGAGUCCGCGGGUAGACCGCACGAGGCUGCCGGCAACGACAGCCCUAGAUGGAUGGCCGCCUCCCGGCCGACCGCAAGGUCGCCCGGAGACAGAACCCGGCGUACAGGCCGACUCGUCCG
RNAcentral lists this RNase P RNA (401 nucleotides) under Streptomyces noursei. RNAcentral describes it as "RNase P RNA component class A". It matches the Rfam family "Bacterial RNase P class A". From Rfam's summary of the family: Ribonuclease P (RNase P) is a ubiquitous endoribonuclease, found in archaea, bacteria and eukarya as well as chloroplasts and mitochondria. Its best characterised activity is the generation of mature 5'-ends of tRNAs by cleaving the 5'-leader elements of precursor-tRNAs. The record is from RNAcentral. Lineage: Bacteria; Bacillati; Actinomycetota; Actinomycetes; Kitasatosporales; Streptomycetaceae.